RNAcentral lists this ribosomal RNA (484 nucleotides) under uncultured bacterium. Its description in RNAcentral is "partial 16S ribosomal RNA". It matches the Rfam family "Bacterial small subunit ribosomal RNA", at positions 30 to 507 of the family's 1533-position model. The record is from RNAcentral.
UUGAACGCUGGCGGCAGGCUUAACACAUGCAAGUCGAGCGGGGAAGGGUAGCUUGCUACCUGACCUAGCGGCGGACGGGUGAGUAAUGCUUAGGAAUCUGCCUAUUAGUGGGGGACAACAUCUCGAAAGGGAUGCUAAUACCGCAUACGUCCUACGGGAGAAAGCAGGGGACCUUCGGGCCUUGCGCUAAUAGAUGAGCCUAAGUCGGAUUAGCUAGUUGGUGGGGUAAAGGCCUACCAAGGCGACGAUCUGUAGCGGGUCUGAGAGGAUGAUCCGCCACACUGGGACUGAGACACGGCCCAGACUCCUACGGGAGGCAGCAGUGGGGAAUAUUGGACAAUGGGGGGAACCCUGAUCCAGCCAUGCCGCGUGUGUGAAGAAGGCCUUUUGGUUGUAAAGCACUUUAAGCGAGGAGGAGGCUACCGAGAUUAAUACUCUUGGAUAGUGGACGUUACUCACAGAAUAAGCACCGGCUAACUCUGUG